RNAcentral lists this ribosomal RNA (509 nucleotides) under uncultured bacterium. RNAcentral's name for it is "partial 16S ribosomal RNA". It matches the Rfam family "Bacterial small subunit ribosomal RNA", at positions 355 to 882 of the family's 1533-position model. The record is from RNAcentral.
UGGGGAAUAUUGGACAAUGGGGGCAACCCUGAUCCAGCAAUGCCGCGUGUGUGAAGAAGGUCUUCGGAUUGUAAAGCACUUUCGACGGGGACGAUGAUGACGGUACCCGUAGAAGAAGCCCCGGCUAACUUCGUGCCAGCAGCCGCGGUAAUACGAAGGGGGCUAGCGUUGCUCGGAAUGACUGGGCGUAAAGGGCGUGUAGGCGGUUUACACAGUCAGAUGUGAAAUCCCCGGGCUUAACCUGGGAGCUGCAUUUGAUACGUGUAGACUAGAGUGUGAGAGAGGGUUGUGGAAUUCCCAGUGUAGAGGUGAAAUUCGUAGAUAUUGGGAAGAACACCGGUGGCGAAGGCGGCAACCUGGCUCAUGACUGACGCUGAGGCGCGAAAGCGUGGGGAGCAAACAGGUUAGAUACCCUGGUAGUCCACGCUGUAAACGAUGUGUGCUAGAUGUUGGGUAACUUUGUUAUUCAGUGUCGCAGUUAACGCGUUAAGCACACCGCCUGGGGAGUA